GUGCCAGCAGCCGCGGUAAUACCGGCGCCUCAAGUGGUAGUCGCUUUUAUUGGGCCUAAAACGUCCGUAGCCGGUCUGAUACAUUCGUGGGUAAAUCAACCAGCUUAACUGGUUGAAUUCUGCGAGGACGGUCAGACUUGGGACCGGGAGAGGUGUGGGGUACGCUCAGGGUAGGGGUAAAAUCCUGUCAUCCUGAGCGGACCACCUGUUGCGAAGGCGCCACACUAGAACGGUUCCGACGGUCAGGGACGAAGCCUAGGGGCACGAACCGGAUUAGAUACCCGGGUAGUCCUAGGUGUAAACGCUGUGAACUUGGUGUCGGGGAUGCUCCAUGGGUCCUCGGUGCCGGAGUGAAGAUGAUUAAGUUUCACUGCCUGGGAGAGUACGGUCGCUAGGCUGAAACUUAAAGGAAUUGGCGGGGGAGCACUGCAACGGGAGGAGCGUGCGGUUUAAUUGGAUUCAACGCCGGAAAACUCACCAAGGCCGACUGUUAGAUGAAGAUCAGCGUAAUGAGCUUAUCGGAUUUUCAGAGAGGUGGUGCAUGGCCGUCGUCAGUUCGUACUGUAAAGCGUUCUGUUAAGUCAGAUAACGAACGAGACCCUCAUCUCUAUUUGCUACCUGGAUCUCCGGAGCCGGCGCACUAUAGAGAGACCGCUGGUGUGAAACCAGAGGAAGGGGAGGGCAACGACAGGUCAGUAUGCUCCCGAAUGUUAUGGGCUACACGCGCGAUGCAAAGGACAGGACAAUGGGAUGCUAGUCCGAGAGGCAUUCACGCUAACCCGAAACCUGUUCAUAGUUCGGAUUGAGGGCUGUAACUCGCCCUCAUGAAGCUGGAUUCCGUAGUAAUCGUGUUUCAAAAAAGCACGGUGAAUAUGCCCCUGCUCCUUGCACACACCGCCCGUC
Molecule: ribosomal RNA, 903 nt
Filed under: uncultured marine archaeon
Lineage: Archaea
Description: SSU rRNA
Rfam family: Archaeal small subunit ribosomal RNA
Source: RNAcentral